This 28-nucleotide non-coding RNA is filed under the name Mus musculus (house mouse). Lineage: Eukaryota; Metazoa; Chordata; Mammalia; Rodentia; Muridae. The record is from RNAcentral.
UAAAGAUGACUCCACUUGACUGAAAAGC